GUGGGGAAUAUUGGACAAUGGGCGCAAGCCUGAUCCAGCCAUGCCGCGUGAGUGAUGAAGGCCUUAGGGUUGUAAAGCUCUUUCAGUGGGGACGAUAAUGACGGUACCCACAGAAGAAGCCCCGGCUAACUUCGUGCCAGCAGCCGCGGUAAUACGAAGGGGGCUAGCGUUGUUCGGAUUUACUGGGCGUAAAGCGCACGUAGGCGGAUCGUUAAGUCGGGGGUGAAAUCCUGGGGCUCAACUCCGGAACUGCCUUUGAUACUGGCAAGCUAGAGUCCGGAAGAGGUAAGUGGAACUCCUAGUGUAGAGGUGGAAUUCGUAGAUAUUAGGAAGAACACCAGUGGCGAAGGCGGCUUACUGGUCCGGAACUGACGCUGAGGUGCGAAAGCGUGGGGAGCAAACAGGAUUAGAUACCCUAGUAGUCC
This 425-nucleotide ribosomal RNA is filed under the name uncultured bacterium. RNAcentral describes it as "bacterial SSU rRNA". It matches the Rfam family "Bacterial small subunit ribosomal RNA", at positions 354 to 796 of the family's 1533-position model. The record is from RNAcentral.